AACGAACGCUGGCGGCAGGCUUAACACAUGCAAGUCGAACGCGUGCAGCAAUGCACUAGUGGCCCACGGGUGAGUAACGCGUGGAUAUCUGCCUUUUGGUUCGGAAUAACCCCGGGAAACUUGAGCUAAUACCGGCUGGUUCCUUCGGGAUAAAUAUUUAUCGCCAAAAGAUUAGUUCGCGUCCGAUUAUCUAGUUGUUGAGGUAAUGGGUCCCCAAGGCGACGAUCGUCAUCUGUUCUGAGAGGACUAUCAGCCACACUGGGACUGAGACACGGCCCAGAAUCCUACGGGAGGCAGGAGUGGGGAAUAUUGGACAACGGGGGCAACACUGAUCCAGCCAUGCCGGGUGAGUGAUGAAGGCCUUCGGGUUGUAAAGCUCUUUUGGCGGGGACGAUGAUGACGGUACCCGAAGAAUAAGCCACGGCUAACUUCGUG
RNAcentral lists this ribosomal RNA (435 nucleotides) under uncultured bacterium. Its description in RNAcentral is "partial 16S ribosomal RNA". It matches the Rfam family "Bacterial small subunit ribosomal RNA", at positions 29 to 507 of the family's 1533-position model. The record is from RNAcentral.